GAUGAACGCUAGCGGCAGGCCUAAUACAUGCAAGUCGAACGGUAACAUGAGUAGCAAUACUUGAUGACGAGUGGCGCACGGGUGCGUAACGCGUAUGCAAUCUACCUUUAACUGGUGAAUAGCCCGAAGAAAUUCGGAUUAAUACACCAUAGUAUAUUUGAAUGGCAUCAUUUAAAUAUUAAAACUCCGGUGGUUAAAGAUGAGCAUGCGUGACAUUAGCUAGUUGGUGAGGUAAUGGCUCACCAAGGCUACGAUGUCUAGGGGAUCUGAGAGGAUUAACCCCCACACUGGUACUGAGACACGGACCAGACUCCUACGGGAGGCAGCAGUAAGGAAUAUUGGACAAUGGUCGAAAGACUGAUCCAGCCAUGCCGCGUGAAGGAUGACGGCCCUAUGGGUUGUAAACUUCUUUUGUAUGGGAAAAAACCCUUCUACGUGUAGAAGGCUGAUGGUACCAUAAGAAUAAGGAUCGGCUAACUCUGUGCCAGCCGCCGCAGUAA
Molecule: ribosomal RNA, 500 nt
Filed under: uncultured bacterium
Lineage: Bacteria
Description: partial 16S ribosomal RNA
Rfam family: Bacterial small subunit ribosomal RNA
Source: RNAcentral